GACGAACGCUGGCGGCGUGCUUAACACAUGCAAGUGGAGCGACGAACCGGGGCUUGCCCGGGCAGAGCCGCGAACGGGUGAGUAACACGUGGGUAACCCACCCCGAUGACCGGGACAACCCGAGGAAACUCGGGCUAAUACCGGAUGUGCUCCUUGACCUCGAGGUCAAGGUGUAAAGAUAGCUUCGGCCUUCGCAUCGGGACGGGCCCGCGGCCCAUUAGCUUGUUGGUGGGGUAACGGCCUACCAAGGCGACGAUGGGUAGCUGGUCUGAGAGGACGAUCAGCCACACUGGGACUGAGACACGGCCCAGACUCCUACGGGAGGCAGCAGUGGGGAAUCUUGCGCAAUGCGCGAAAGCGUGACGCAGCAACGCCGCGUGGGGGAANACGGCC
RNAcentral lists this ribosomal RNA (393 nucleotides) under uncultured bacterium. RNAcentral's name for it is "bacterial SSU rRNA". It matches the Rfam family "Bacterial small subunit ribosomal RNA", at positions 28 to 416 of the family's 1533-position model. The record is from RNAcentral.